This 506-nucleotide ribosomal RNA is filed under the name uncultured bacterium. RNAcentral describes it as "partial 16S ribosomal RNA". It matches the Rfam family "Bacterial small subunit ribosomal RNA", at positions 30 to 523 of the family's 1533-position model. The record is from RNAcentral.
AUUGAACGCUGGCGGCAGGCCUAACACAUGCAAGUCGAACGGUAACAGGAAACAGCUUGCUGUUUGGCUGACGAGUGGCGGACGGGUGAGUAAUGUCUGGGAAACUGCCUGAGGGAGGAGGAUAACUACUGGAACCGGUAGCUAAUACCGCAUAACGGCGCAAGACCAAAGAGGCGGACCUUCGGGACUCUUGACAUCCGAUGUGCCCAGAUGGGAUUAGCUGGUAGGUGGGGUAACGGCUCACCUAGGCGACGAUCCCUAGCUGGUCUGAGAGGAUGACCAGCCACACUGGAACUGAGACACGGUCCAGACUCCUACGGGAGGCAGCAGUGGGGAAUAUUGCACAAUGGGCGCAAGCCUGAUGCAGCCAUGCCGCGUGUAUGAAGAAGGCCUUCGGGUUGUAAAGUACUUUCAGCGGGGAGGAAGGGAGUAAAGUCAAUACCUUUGCUCAUUGACGUUACCCGCAGAAGAAGCACCGGCUAACUCCGUGUCAGCCGCCGCCGUAA